Molecule: ribosomal RNA, 396 nt
Filed under: uncultured bacterium
Lineage: Bacteria
Description: partial 16S ribosomal RNA
Rfam family: Bacterial small subunit ribosomal RNA
Source: RNAcentral
AUACGUAGGUGGCAAGCGUUAUCCGGAUUUACUGGGUGUAAAGGGCGCGUAGGCGGGUAUGCAAGUCAGAUGUGAAAUCUAUGGGCUUAACCCAUAAACUGCAUUUGAAACUGUAUGUCUUGAGUGCUGGAGAGGUAGACGGAAUUCCUUGUGUAGCGGUGAAAUGCGUAGAUAUAAGGAAGAACACCAGUGGCGAAGGCGGUCUACUGGACAGUAACUGACGCUGAGGCGCGAAAGCGUGGGGAGCAAACAGGAUUAGAUCCCCUGGUAGUCCACGCUGUAAACGAUGAAUACUAGGUGUGGGGGGACUGACCCUCUCCGUGUCGCAGUUAACACAAUAAGUAUUCCACCUGGGGAGUACGGCCGCAAGGUUGAAACUCAAAUGAAUUGACGGGG